AUCUCAGGCUGACGAGGCUAACCGUGAGCGAUGGGAGGCACUGUGUACCGAGGCGUCGACCGAGGUUUUGAAACUCGACCCAAGUUGCACUGCAGCCAGACUUAUCCAGGCAGUUGCACAGUGUAUUCUUGGAAACACCAGGUGCGAAUGUAACGCGUCCAUAUAUCCAUUUUGCAAACGACUUUCAGACAUUAAACCGAGACCCUAAGCAAGCUCCACUAGUUUCCACAGGAAACUCUGACAGUGAAAAA
Long non-coding RNA from Nematostella vectensis (starlet sea anemone), 251 nucleotides. RefSeq lists it as uncharacterized. The transcript has 2 exons. The record is from RefSeq and is a predicted model, not a curated record. NCBI's taxonomy places the organism in Eukaryota, Metazoa, Cnidaria, Anthozoa, Actiniaria, Edwardsiidae.